AUUGAACGCUGGCGGCAUGCCUUACACAUGCAAGUCGAACGGUAACAGGUUAAGCUGACGAGUGGCGAACGGGUGAGUAAUAUAUCGGAACGUGCCCAGUCGUGGGGGAUAACGUAGCGAAAGCUACGCUAAUACCGCAUACGAUCUACGAAUGAAAGCGGGGGAUCGCAAGACCUCGCGCGAUUGGAGCGGCCGAUAUCAGAUUAGGUUGUUGGUGAGGGAAAAGCUCACCAAGCCUGCGAUCUGUAGCUGGUCUGAGAGGACGACCAGCCACACUGGAACUGAGACACGGUCCAGACCCCUACGGGAGGCAGCAGUGGGGAAUUUUGGACAAUGGACGCAAGUCUGAUCCAGCAAUGCCGCGUGCAGGACGAAGGCCUUCGGGUUGUAAACUGCUUUUGUACGGAACGAAAACUUAGCCACUAACAUUGGUUGAGGUUGACGGUACCUUGAUAAGAAGCACCGGCUAACUACGUGCCAGCCGCCGCGGUAA
This 493-nucleotide ribosomal RNA is filed under the name uncultured bacterium. RNAcentral describes it as "partial 16S ribosomal RNA". It matches the Rfam family "Bacterial small subunit ribosomal RNA", at positions 30 to 523 of the family's 1533-position model. The record is from RNAcentral.